Molecule: ribosomal RNA, 495 nt
Filed under: uncultured bacterium
Lineage: Bacteria
Description: partial 16S ribosomal RNA
Rfam family: Bacterial small subunit ribosomal RNA
Source: RNAcentral
GACGAACGCUGGCGGCGUGCCUAAUACAUGCAAGUAGAACGCUGAAGGAGGAGGUUGCUUCUCCGGAUGAGUUGCGAACGGGUGAGUAACGCGUAGGGAACCUGCCCGGUAGCGGGGGAUAACUAUUGGAAACGAUAGCUAAUACCGCAUAACAGUAGAUAUUGCAUGAUAUCUGCUUGAAAGGUGCAAUUGCAUCACUACCAGAUGGAGCUGCGUUGUAUUAGCUAGUUGGUGAGGUAACGGCUCACCAAGGCGACGAUACAUAUCCGGCCCGAGAGGGGGGUCGGGCCAAAUGGGAACUGGAAAACGGCCAAGAUCCCACGGGAGGGAGCAGUAGGGAAUCUUCGGCCAUGGGCGGAAGUCCGGACGAGCAAAGCCGGGUGAGUGAAGAAAGUUUUCGGAUCGUUAAGGUCUGUUGUAAGGGAAGAAAGAGUGUGAGGGUGGAAAGUUCACACUGUGACGGUAUCUUACCAGAAAGGGACGGCUAACUACGUG